CAGGCUUAACACAUGCAAGUCGAGGGGCAGCAUGGUCUUAGCUUGCUAAGGCCGAUGGCGACCGGCGCACGGGUGAGUAACACGUAUCCAACCUGCCGUCUACUCUUGGACAGCCUUCUGAAAGGAAGAUUAAUACAAGAUGGCAUCAUGAGUCCACAUGUUCACAUGAUUAAAGGUAUUCCGGUAGACGAUGGGGAUGCGUUCCAUUAGAUAGUAGGCGGGGUAACGGCCCACCUAGUCUUCGAUGGAUAGGGGUUCUGAGAGGAAGGUCCCCCACAUUGGAACUGAGACACGGUCCAAACUCCUACGGGAGGCAGCAGUGAGGAAUAUUGGUCAAUGGGCGAGAGCCUGAACCAGCCAAGUAGCGUGAAGGAUGACUGCCCUAUGGGUUGUAAACUUCUUUUAUAAAGGAAUAAAGUCGGGUAUGCAUACCCGUUUGCAUGUACUUUAUGAAUAAGGAUCGGCUAACUCCGUGCCAGCAGCCGCGGUAAUACGGAGGAUCCGAGCGUUAUCCGGAUUUAUUGGGUUUAAAGGGAGCGUAGAUGGAUGUUUAAGUCAGUUGUGAAAGUUUGCGGCUCAACCGUAAAAUUGCAGUUGAUACUGGAUAUCUUGAGUGCAGUUGAGGCAGGCGGAAUUCGUGGUGUAGCGGUGAAAUGCUUAGAUAUCACGAAGAACUCCGAUUGCGAAGGCAGCCUGCUAAGCUGCAACUGACAUUGAGGCUCGAAAGUGUGGGUAUCAAACAGGAUUAGAUACCCUGGUAGUCCACACGGUAAACGAUGAAUACUCGCUGUUUGCGAUAUACGGCAAGCGGCCAAGCGAAAGCGUUAAGUAUUCCACCUGGGGAGUACGCCGGCAACGGUGAAACUCAAAGGAAUUGACGGGGGCCCGCACAAGCGGAGGAACAUGUGGUUUAAUUCGAUGAUACGCGAGGAACCUUACCCGGGCUUAAAUUGCAGAUGAAUUACGGUGAAAGCCGUAAGCCGCAAGGCAUCUGUGAAGGUGCUGCAUGGUUGUCGUCAGCUCGUGCCGUGAGGUGUCGGCUUAAGUGCCAUAACGAGCGCAACCCUUGUUGUCAGUUACUAACAGGUUCCGCUGAGGACUCUGACAAGACUGCCAUCGUAAGAUGUGAGGAAGGUGGGGAUGACGUCAAAUCAGCACGGCCCUUACGUCCGGGGCUACACACGUGUUACAAUGGGGGGUACAGAGGGCCGCUACCACGCGAGUGGAUGCCAAUCCCCAAAACCUUUCUCAGUUCGGACUGGAGUCUGCAACCCGACUCCACGAAGCUGGAUUCGCUAGUAAUCGCGCAUCAGCCACGGCGCGGUGAAUACGUUCCCGGGCCUUGUACACACCGCCCGUCAAGCCAUGGGAGCCGGGGGUACCUGAAGUGCGUAACCGCGAGGAGCGCCCUAGGGUAAAACUGGUGACUGGGGCUAAA
This 1438-nucleotide ribosomal RNA is filed under the name uncultured organism. RNAcentral describes it as "SSU rRNA". It matches the Rfam family "Bacterial small subunit ribosomal RNA". The record is from RNAcentral.